This 75-nucleotide transfer RNA is filed under the name Pythium insidiosum. RNAcentral's name for it is "tRNA-Ile". It matches the Rfam family "tRNA". Rfam says of the family: Transfer RNA (tRNA) molecules are approximately 80 nucleotides in length. Their secondary structure includes four short double-helical elements and three loops (D, anti-codon, and T loops). Lineage: Eukaryota; Oomycota; Peronosporomycetes; Pythiales; Pythiaceae. The record is from RNAcentral.
GCGUCCUGUAGCUCAGUCGGCUAGAGCGGUGGUCUUAUGAGCCGCAUGUCGAGGGUUCGAGCCCCUCCAGGAGCA